Molecule: long non-coding RNA, 419 nt
Filed under: Marmota monax (woodchuck)
Lineage: Eukaryota; Metazoa; Chordata; Mammalia; Rodentia; Sciuridae
Source: RNAcentral
CUUGCAAAGGCGAAAAGUCGUGCAAGAGUGUAUGCUGACCAAGCUGCGACAAACCCCUGCCUUUGUCUGGAACCGCCCGCAGGUCCUCACACGUAAAAUACAAGAGGGAGCUGAAUCAGACUUUGAUCUUGCACCUGGGUCCCUAAGGUAGCGAAACUCAUCAAAAAUAAUGCGGAGUAAACAAGACCUCACCCAAUAAGGGGAAGCUGUGGUCAAAAGCAUUUUGUCCCGGAACCCCUCUGCCUUCCCCAGACCCUGGCGCGGAGCCCAACAAUUGAUGUCUCUCCGCGGCACUUUUCUUCAUUUCCUUGGAGGUCUCAUCUGCUUUCUAGAUCUGCCUGGGGAGAAUGGGGGCCUCUUUUCCAAGAAGCCCAGAGCCUGUGGAGCCCCCAGCGCCCGCUCUCGCUGUCCCCUGCGGA